This 254-nucleotide ribosomal RNA is filed under the name uncultured bacterium. RNAcentral's name for it is "partial 16S ribosomal RNA". It matches the Rfam family "Bacterial small subunit ribosomal RNA", at positions 524 to 776 of the family's 1533-position model. The record is from RNAcentral.
UACGUAGGGGGCGAGCGUUGUCCGGAAUUAUUGGGCGUAAAGAGCUCGUAGGCGGCUUAGCAAGUCAGGUGUGAAAACUCCAGGCUCAACCUGGAGAUGCCACUUGAGACUGCUAUAGCUAGAGUCCGGUAGGGGACCACGGAAUUCCUGGUGUAGCGGUGAAAUGCGCAGAUAUCAGGAGGAACACCGGUGGCGAAGGCGGUGGUCUGGGCCGGCACUGACGCUGAGGAGCGAAAGCGUGGGUAGCAAACAGG